CCAGAAAGGAAUUACAAACAGUCAGUCUACAUGCUGAUUCUUCGUUCAACCAUGGUUGUUGGCUUUGAUGCAGCUAACUUCAGUUCACUAUUUCUUAAGGGACUUACGCGAUAAGAAAGAAAAGAGAAAAAGAGAAGGAAAAGUGGAGGAAUGAAAGGUUGCAUUAUACUACUGAUUAAAGGAGCCAUCUAUUCACAGAGUGGUAGAAGGAGCUGUUUGACUUUUUUGGGGGUGACAUCAUCAUAAGGUACUGUUUGGGCUACCAGAACUGGACUGCAAAAUUUCAGACAGAAAAGGCAGAGAAAGGAUCUUGAAAGAGUACCAAGAUGUUUCAGGUGGAAUCUGAGAAUUGCAAAUGAUAAAGAUGCCAGUUGAUCAGCAAACUCUGGCAACUUCAUGUUAAUCACAAGCCUCAUGGCAGUUUACAUCUCUGGAUUGAGAACCAGGCCACGCUGUUUCCUUACCUAAGUCAAUGGCUAGGAAGGAUUAAUUUUCAUAGUUGACGCUAAGAGCUCAGAGACAGUGGAUGCAGAGAUUACAAAGACACAACCUGCAAUUUCCCCAGUUUUGCCCCUUCUGUCUGAUUGCACAGGCCCUUUGAUAAAAGCCCCAUUUUCCUGCAAA
Long non-coding RNA from Pantherophis guttatus, 624 nucleotides. RefSeq lists it as uncharacterized. The record is from RefSeq and is a predicted model, not a curated record. Lineage: Eukaryota; Metazoa; Chordata; Lepidosauria; Squamata; Colubridae.